AUGGAAAAGUAUUGGUGGAGUAGCUCGAUCGACAAGAGGUCUCUUCACUGAUUCUCUUGGAAGGAAUUGGCAGAACCAAAUUGUCAGGGAGGGAUGGGUUUUUGCGACCUCCACAUGUUCAAUCUUGCACUCCUUGGCAAAAAUGGCUGGCGCUUCUUGACAAAUCCCACCUCACUUUGUGCCAGAGUUAUGAAGGGUAGAUACUUUCCAGACACUGAUUUCCUGCAUGCCACAGCACCUAAGGCCGCUUCGGCUACUUGGCGGGCAAUCAUUGCUGGACGAGAAGCUUUACUUGCGGGGAUUGUUCAGCGUGUUGGUGAUGGCACUUCAAUCAAUCCGUGGACAGACAAGUGGAUUCCC
RNAcentral lists this ribosomal RNA (360 nucleotides) under Triticum aestivum (bread wheat). RNAcentral describes it as "partial small subunit ribosomal RNA". Lineage: Eukaryota; Viridiplantae; Streptophyta; Magnoliopsida; Poales; Poaceae. The record is from RNAcentral.